Molecule: ribosomal RNA, 497 nt
Filed under: uncultured bacterium
Lineage: Bacteria
Description: partial 16S ribosomal RNA
Rfam family: Bacterial small subunit ribosomal RNA
Source: RNAcentral
GAUGAACGCUGGCGGCGUGCCUAAUACAUGCAAGUCGAGCGAACGGACGAGAAGCUUGCUUUUCUGAUGUUAGCGGCGGACGGGUGAGUAACACGUGGAUAACCUACCUAUAAGACUGGGAUAACUUCGGGAAACCGGAGCUCAUACCGGAUAAUAUUUUGAACCGCAUGGUUCAAAAGUGAAAGACGGUCUUGCUGUCACUUAUAGAUGGAUCCGCGCUGCAUUAGCUAGUUGGUAAGGUAACGGCUUACCAAGGCAACGAUGCAUAGCCGACCUGAGAGGGUGAUCGGCCACACUGGAACUGAGACACGGUCCAGACUCCUACGGGAGGCAGCAGUAGGGAAUCUUCCGCAAUGGGCGAAAGCCUGACGGAGCAACGCCGCGUGAGUGAUGAAGGUCUUCGGAUCGUAAAACGCUGUUAUUAGGGAAGAACAUAUGUGUAAGUAACUGUGCACGUCUUGACGGUACCUAAUCAGAAAGCCACGGCUAACUACGUG